RNAcentral lists this long non-coding RNA (1633 nucleotides) under Solanum tuberosum (potato). RNAcentral's name for it is "long non-coding RNA (STUB_LNC004657)". Lineage: Eukaryota; Viridiplantae; Streptophyta; Magnoliopsida; Solanales; Solanaceae. The record is from RNAcentral.
UUUAAGGAAAAAGUGCUACUCAAAAUCAAUACAGAGGGUUCAAUCCUAGUCAAAUGCACACAAAUGCUCACAUUCACAAAUAAAUCAAGUUAUUGAACUCUAGUUAAAAAUAUAAAAUAAGGCGUAUGAAAACAAUUAAGCAUCACAGAAGCAAGAAAAUGUCCACAGCUUCCCUCCCAUUCUUUCAUUCUUUGUUCAUAUGUAUUUGAAAGAGAUCGAAAGGCUGGAAGGAAGAUAGACAUGAGUUUUAGAUCUAGCGGCGCGUAUCGAGUCUCAAAACAAGACUCUUGUGACAAGCGAAAGUGUUUAUGAACAUUCCAUUCAUGCUCCCAAAGUGUACAUGUAAAAAGAAAAGGAAAUAAAAAAAAUUAAACAAAGUGAUUUAAUUCUCAACAAAUAUUUACAACAAAAUAAGCUAACAAAGUUAUAACAACACACAACAUUACACUUUUGAUAACAUGAAACAAAGCAACUUUGUACCAUCCAUAACUAAAUGUAUUUGAAGAUGCACCAAAUCAUUUACUAAUUCGAAAUUGAUUUAAAAAGAGACAUCAAACUGUUAACAAAGCAACCUUUUACUUUCUUACUAUACUAAAGAUAGGUUGUUAUAUCAUGAAAUGAAAAGAUGACUUUAACUAAACUACUGCAAACUUUUCAAGAAUCAAUAUUCAAUAUGGUCACAUUUAAACCAAAAACUUAGCCAAAACAGAGAUAUUGAACUAAUUAACUAGAUUAGAUACGAUAUCUAAUCACAUACACAAUAUUAAACAAAACAAAUAAAUUGACAAGAACAACCCUUUAGCAGACAGAUUUCAACGAAUAUUCAAGAGUUUAGAACUCCCUUUUUUUAUGAUUAAACAUAAGUAUGUGCUGCAAUAAUAGUUUAAGUACGCAUGAUCCAUAAUAGUAUAUCUAAAAUUAAUACUAACUUUCAAACUAAAGCUAUUACAGAGAAGCAUGAGCUUAUGUAUUACUUAUAAAAUUUAAACAAAGCAAACAGACUACUGUAACCUUCACGGUUCCCAUACUUCAAUAAAUUCUAACAUAAUUUUUAAACAGAUUAAAAACUUAAAUUAAGAAAAUAAAGGAAGAAAAGUUGAGGUUACCGUUUAUGGGGCAGUGAACAUGGGUCGUCGGCAAGGAUAUAUCUCCUCUUGUUCCUCCGACAAAGUCGAGCAAAUAGAGACUAGAGUAGUAGAUGAUGAUAUCAAAAUGUAGGAAGUAGUGUUCUUGUGAGUGUUCAAGUUUAUUGAGUGCUUUUUUAAGCCAGCCAGGAAGUCAUCCCCCUUAACUCCAUAAAAAUGAGAAACUUUAUAGAAAUUUUUUGAUGUUCAAAGCUUUGUAUUUGGGCGGGAUUUUUGGAUUUGGAUUUGAAUUUUGAAUAUUGGUAAACUAGAGUUGUUGUGAAUCUGUCAUCUCUGCCACAAAGAAUCAAAAUCCAAAAGUUCUUUGGCCUUUUGUGUUGACCAAAUUAAGAGGAGAGAUGAGAAUGAGGGAGGGGAAAGCAACGGUACAUAUCCUUUAGGAGAAAGAGGUGAUGUUACACCAAAAUGGAGUGACAAAUCUUUUAUGAUUAAAGAUUGAUGGAGUUUUAUCUAGAAGUAGAAAUGCUCAGGAGAAGAGAGGGACAACG